AUUGAACGCUGGCGGCAGGCCUAACACAUGCAAGUCGAACGGUAACAGGAAGCAGCUUGCUGCUUCGCUGACGAGUGGCGGACGGGUGAGUAAUGUCUGGGAAGCUGCCUGAUGGAGGGGGAUAACUACUGGAAACGGUAGCUAAUACCGCAUAAUGUCGCAAGACCAAAGAGGGGGACCUUCGGGCCUCUUGCCAUCGGAUGUGCCCAGAUGGGAUUAGCUUGUUGGUGGGGUAACGGCUCACCAAGGCGACGAUCCCUAGCUGGUCUGAGAGGAUGACCAGCCACACUGGAACUGAGACACGGUCCAGACUCCUACGGGAGGCAGCAGUGGGGAAUAUUGCACAAUGGGCGCAAGCCUGAUGCAGCCAUGCCGCGUGUAUGAAGAAGGCCUGCGGGUUGUAAAGUACUUUCAGCGGGGAGGAAGGGAGUAAAGUUAAUACCUUUGCUCAUUGACGUUACCCGCAGAAGAAGCACCGGCUAACUCCGU
RNAcentral lists this ribosomal RNA (489 nucleotides) under uncultured bacterium. RNAcentral describes it as "partial 16S ribosomal RNA". It matches the Rfam family "Bacterial small subunit ribosomal RNA", at positions 30 to 506 of the family's 1533-position model. The record is from RNAcentral.